AUGAGUCGGCGAAGGAAACAUGGGGACAGCCCUGGCCUGAAGAACACGCCGCGCAAAGCGGUGGCGGCUGAGGAAUGCAGCUCGAUGGUCGAGCCAGGGAAGAGGCGGCUGAGGUCGGCCCGCGGUUCAGGGCCCCGCAGGGCCGGAGAGACGUCUCCCCGGCCCGUGUCGCAACAAGAGCAGCCUCCAGCAGCCGCUUCGUGCAGUAAAAGUAACCCCGAGGAAAGAUAUGAAACACCAAAGAGAGUGCUGAAAAUGGAUUUAUUGUCAUCUACCUUCAGUUCUCCUAAUGAUCCAGAUGGACAAAAUGAUAUCUUUUGGGAUCAAAAUUCUCCAAUGACAAAACAGUUAGGUAAAGGAAGAAAAAAACAGAUUUACACCACAGAUAGUGAUGAAAUCUCACAUAUUGUUAAUCGUAUUGCUCCUCAGGAUGAAAAACCAACAACAAACUCCAUGCUUGGCAUGUGGAUUGGUGCCACUGCUAUUCCUUGUACUCCUAGUGUAGCAAAAGGAAAAUCAAGAGCAAAAAUAAGCUGCACAAAGUUAAAAACACAAAAUCGAGAGGAAGAACUUAUGAAAUUGGCUAAGCAAUUUGAUAAAAAUAUGGAAGAGUUAGAUGUGAUUCAAGAGCAAAACAAAAGAAAUCAUGAUUUUAUGCAGACAACUGCAGAAGCAGAGACUUUAAGCAAUUAUAAAGAUAAUGUACAAAUGCAGUUAUUACAUGAUAUAGUUCCUGAAAUAGAUAAUUCUAUAAUAAAGAAGCCAAUGAAAGAAAACACCAAAAUGUGUGUGGUAAAUGAUCAAAAUAGCAGUCAGAAGCCAUUUGACCAAAAUGCUGAAGCAGCCUUUAAUGCCAUUUUUGAUGGCUCUACUCAGAAAUGUAGCGGACAGUUCAGCCAAGAUUUGCCAGAUGUUUUUUUGAACACAAGUAAUACCACCUUUGGAAAGAAAAGCGCUUUAAAAGAGGAGAAAAUCAUUAUGAAUGAAAUUCUGGUCCCUGAAAAACUGCCAGAUAAAACCCCAGGAUCACUUUUUUGUCAAGUGGACACUCCUGGAAUGACAAAAUCAUGUGUGACUUCUUAUACUGAGAAGCCAGAAGCUUUUCAUAAACACCUUGAUGCAUUUACUACCAGUGAUUUUGAGGAUGAUUGGGAAAACUUACUAAGUAAUGAACCUUUUGUUAUGCAAAAUGUCAAAAUGUGUGAACUUUUCCCUGCUCCUAGAACAGCCCAGAUUGCUGAUCAAAAGGAAAUUUAUAAUUUUAACAAUAAAAAUGAUAAAAAUAAGUCAAGAAUGAAUACAAGUCUAGAUACCAGGGUAAGGGAUUCAAAAAUUUUACAGGAUCUCCCUUCAAAGACAUAUAACAAGGAAUUAAUAGAUUCUGGAAAAUACGGGUUUUCACUAAAUCCAAAUGAUAAACCAAGCAAAUUACCAUCCACUGGAAAUAAAAUGAAAUUUGAGAAAUCUUUCAGUAAAACUGUUGUUAAAGACAAAAUUCAAGACUGUACAGUUGCGUCUAAUCUGACAAAAGUAAAAGAAGAUAUGCACACUAAAUUUACUUCUAAUGUAAAUAUUUCUGAAAAGUCAACUUUGAACACAGGAUAUUCUAAUGAACAAAAAAAUAAGUUCAUUUAUAAUCAGUCUUUUAAAGCACCUGCUAAUAUAGAUCAUUUUGGCUCUGCAACUUUGGGCAAUAAAACCAGUGUUUAUAAUCCAAAUCAGACUAAUACAUCAAAGUUAGGUUCUUUCUUUGAUGACUGGAAUGAUCCAUCAUUUGCCAAUGAAGUUGUUAAAGCAUGUCAUCAAUUAGAGAAUACCUGGGAAGCAGAUGAUGUAGAUGAUGAUUUAUUAUACCAAGCAUGUGAUGAUAUUGAAAGACUAACUCAGCAACAAGACAUUAGAAAGGACAGUAAGAUAUCAGAAGGUAAACUUGAGAUCAAUAAUAGUUCCAAACAUGGAGCCAAAAACAUGUUUACUACAUCUAAAGAAAGUCGGUUGGUGCAAUCGAAGCAUUUGAAUCUGAGCAGCAUUUCAGGGUAUACAUCUUUCACAAAUAGCUCACAAUUAAAUAAACCAGUGAAGAUGGAAAAAGAAAUUUGUGGAAAUUCUCCAAGCUUUUUAGGUGCUACGACUAAUUUAACAAUAUACUCUAAGAACUCAAAUUGUCAGAUCAAUAAUCUACAUUAUUCCUGGAAUAAUACUGAUGUUCCAAUACAAGUGAAUAGUACUGAAUCGGUUCUUACAGGAACUUCAAGUUUGAAUGUGAGUUCAGAUCAUAGGAAUACAGAAACUGCUAUUUAUAAGAAGAAAUUAAGUACUCAGCAUCUAUCCCAUAGGAACAUAACAGAUGGAGCUAAGAGUGACCUUAACAGACCAGUUAGAUUUCCUAAGUAUACAUUUACAAAGAUGAAAAAUUCUCAGAUUCUUUCCCAGUUCAAUCAAAAUUGUAUACCAGCAAGUAUUUCUGAUACCAAAAUUACACAGGGUUUGGAGAAAAAUAAAACUGUCAACCCAUUUUGUGGGAAGACUGUUCAACAGCAAUCUUUGGUGAAACGUUCUGAAUCUAUGGAACAACCUUCAAAAGAGGAAGAAGAGAAAAAUAAAAAGUAUUCUCCUGAAGAAAUUCAAAGAAAAAGACAAGCAGCACUGGUUCGAAGAAUGGCCAAAGCACAGGCAUCAUCUGUAAAGGCAGCUCCCACUUAACUUGAUUUCUUUUAUGAAAUAUUAGUUGGAAGACAUAACAAAGACAGUUAAUAGCUAUCUGUGAUAGGAAAUAUUUUUUCUUGAUUUCUCUGUGAGAAAUUUAAUGCUGACUUAUAAAGCAUGGACUUCUUUUUUUUAUGGACUUAUAUUUUAUUUAAUAAAUCAAUGUUUGCAAUUCAUUGAAACCUUUCCUUGGAGAGCCAAGACGAAAUAAUGAGGACAGCAUGUACACUUCUUGCUGAAAGAACCAAAUAAACUGCCUGGAAAAGUGGAUUUCAAGACAACCUGGGAAUGAGGAAACAAACAAAUGGGAGCCCUACCAUUUUCCCAGCUUACUGCCUUGAGGGAGUUUCCAGACCAUGAUGCAAGGAAGAAUUGAGGAACAGCCCAGGAGACAUCAUGAGUGAGAAAAUGGAGCUGAGACACUAGGGAGACUAAGGUAGCUAGAGUUCACAGGACAGAGUACCUGUGAGAAGACUGAACUCCAGAGAUCUGCAGAUGAUCCCUUUUGAUAAUUAAACUCAGUACUGAUUAGCACAUAUAUGUGAGGAAAUGGAGGCUGGAGAAAGAGACAUCCGAUGGGAUUAAGAGAGAGCAGAGUCCAGUGCUCAAGCAUCUAGUAAUAAUGCCAGUUCUUACCAACCAAGGUCACUGGGUAGUUACUUGCCUGAGUAGUAGGGAAUGAUUUGCCCUAGGUUGCACUGCUCUGGGCCCACCCAACAAAUCACAAAAGCAAGGUCAAAAAGGAUCAAACCAUUCCCACAGAACUGCAUGCUAGAACAAAGUGUAAAAAUACUUACAGAAAAACAAAAAUGCCCAGUACCUAUGAGAUAACAUUAACAAUGACUGCCCUCUAAUUAAAGAUAACUAGGCACUCAAAGAAGCAAAAACACAACCUAAGAAGGAUCAAUUGAAACCUGUAUCUGAUAUAGAUGUUAAAACUAAUGUGAGGAUAUUAAAAUAGCUACAGUUAUUAAAUGUGUUCAAAAAAGUUAAGUAGAAACGGGAUAUUAAAAAGACUAAACUCAAACUUUUAGAGAUGAAAGCUAAAAUGUCUGAGGUGAAAAUACAUCAUAUAGGAUUAAUGGCAAUUCACACAUUGUAGAAGAUUAGUAUUUAGUGAACUUGACAUAUCAAUAGGGAUUAUUCAAAAUGAAAAAAAAUUUAAGGAGAAGAACAGUGAGUUGUGGAACAAUUUCAAGUAGCCUAAUGUAUGGUUAGAGUCUCUGAAGGAGGAAGUGGGGGGAGAGUAUACAGGAUAUUUGAAAUAAUGACCUAACAAUUUUCAGACCUUAUGGAAACUACUAACCCACAAAUCCAAGAAAUUCAAUGAACUCCAAGCACAAGAGAUAUUAAGAAAACUAUGAAGCCACAUCAUAGCCAGUAUAAAAUCAUGAAAGCAAUAAAAAAGAACAAAGGGACAAAGAUGAAUAUAACAGAAUUUUCAUCAGAAACAAUCUGAGAAGACAAUGGAGAAACAUCUUUAAAGCACUGAAAGGAAAAAACCUAUCUAGAAUUCUAUACCCGGCAAAAUGUCUUUCAAAGGCAAACAUGAGAAAAAGUUGCUUUCAGACAUUUAAAAUCUGAAAGAAUUCAUCACUGGCACUACAAGAAAUACUAAAGGAUGUCUUCCAAGCAGAAAAUGGUAUUAAAUGAAAAUAUGGGUUUACAUGAGGGAAUGAUGAGCACUGGAAAUGAUAAACAACAUGGGUUAAUAUAUGAGUUUUAAAAAUUAUUUAAAUCCUUUAAAAGAUAAUUGACUACUCAUACAAACAUAACAAUGUUGUGGGGUUUAUAACAUAAAAGUUAAACAUGGCAAUAGCAUAAAGGCCAGUAGGAAAAAAAAAGUAUGAAAGUAGAUAGUCCUAGUCUUGCACAUUUUGGCAUGCAUGGGUUUCAGUUACAUAACACCAGUUUCCUAACAACGUAGUUCAGAUUUCUGUUAACACAGUAUAUUAAACUGUGAAUACUUGCAUAAAGUACAAACUUUAUAGUUAUCUCAGUCCACAAAUCACUACAUAAAUAACAUGUGGAUUAUGAUGCAUGAUCAAUCAUGUCAUUUGUGACAACCGCCCAGGGAACAUUAUUCCCAGUUCAGAGCUAAGGAUAUAGGGGUUUAGUUUUUCUAUCCUGAGCUAUACCCUGUUUUAAGACCAGUUCAGGCUGACUCUAUAUAUCUCCUGAUCUUUCCACAGUAAACCAUUAUGCUCAUGGAACCCAACAUGGGGCUUGAACUCAUAACCCUGAGAUUGAGAACUAAGCCAAGAUCAAGAGUUGGGUGCUUAACUGACUGAGCCACCCAGGCACCUCCCCAUUAUUUGUAAAUUCAUCCAUUCUUUUGCUGUGAUUGGUUUAUGGUGUUACAUAGGGCUUCUUCUUUUUGUUUUGUUUUUAAUACAAUUGGACUUACAUUAAAUAAAUGAAAAUUUUAAAUGUUUAAUAGAAAACAUGUCCUUUGGUAUGAAGGAUUUAGUAGUAUAUUCUAAAUGCAAAUAUAGAAAACAUUGUUUAAAUGCUGAAGAGCUCCUGUUCCACUUUUUUUUUUUUAAGCUUUUAUUUAUUUAUUUGAGAGAGAGG
Non-coding RNA from Callorhinus ursinus (northern fur seal), 5280 nucleotides. The record is from RefSeq and is a predicted model, not a curated record. Lineage: Eukaryota; Metazoa; Chordata; Mammalia; Carnivora; Otariidae.